UUCCCUGCCUUUUUUGAAUAUCAAUCAUUCAGAACUUUAUUUAUUUGUUUAUUUAUAUAUCACCCACCCACUUCCCUCAGACCUCAGCUUGGGCUAGAACCUGACACUUGGUGUGACAUCUGCCUACCAUUAUAAACCUCUUCUGUUAGUUAAAUCACUGGGAACAGUAGCCCACAGUAAAAGAUUAAUAUAUUUCCUUGUCCUCACCCAAAUCUCAUCUCGAAUUGUAAUCCCCGCGAGUCAAGGAAGGAACCUGUAAUCCCCACCUGUCGAGGGAGGGAGGCAAUUGGAUCACGGGGGCAGAUUCUGCCAUGCUGUUCUCAUGAUAGUGAGGGAGUUCUCACAAGAUCUAAUGGUUUUAAAAGUGUGGCAUUGGCUGGGCGUGGUGGUUCAUGCCUGUAAUCCCAGCAUUUUGGGAGGCUGAGGCGGCUGGAUCACCUGA
RNAcentral lists this long non-coding RNA (442 nucleotides) under Homo sapiens (human). RNAcentral's name for it is "non-protein coding lnc-FBXO5-5:1". Lineage: Eukaryota; Metazoa; Chordata; Mammalia; Primates; Hominidae. The record is from RNAcentral.